UACGUAGGGACCAAGCGUUGUUCGGAUUUACUGGGCGUACAGGGAGCGUAGGCGGUUGGGUAAGCCCUCCGUGAAAUCUCCGGGCCUAACCCGGAAAGUGCGGAGGGGACUGCUCGGCUAGAGGAUGGGAGAGGAGCGCGGAAUUCCCGGUGUAGCGGUGAAAUGCGUAGAGAUCGGGAGGAAGGCCGGUGGCGAAGGCGGCGCUCUGGAACAUUUCUGACGCUGAGGCUCGAAAGCGUGGGGAGCAAACAGG
RNAcentral lists this ribosomal RNA (253 nucleotides) under uncultured bacterium. RNAcentral describes it as "partial 16S ribosomal RNA". It matches the Rfam family "Bacterial small subunit ribosomal RNA", at positions 524 to 776 of the family's 1533-position model. The record is from RNAcentral.